UAACUGAAGAGUUUGAUCAUGGCUCAGAUUGAACGCUGGCGGCAGGCUUAACACAUGCAAGUCGAGCGGGGAUAGGGUGCUUGCACCUGAUUCCUAGCGGCGGACGGGUGAGUAAUGCUUAGGAAUCUGCCUAUUAGUGGGGGACAACGUUCCGAAAGGGACGCUAAUACCGCAUACGUCCUACGGGAGAAAGCAGGGGAUCUUCGGACCUUGCGCUAAUAGAUGAGCCUAAGUCGGAUUAGCUAGUUGGUGGGGUAAAGGCCUACCAAGGCGACGAUCUGUAGCGGGUCUGAGAGGAUGAUCCGCCACACUGGGACUGAGACACGGCCCAGACUCCUACGGGAGGCAGCAGUGGGGAAUAUUGGACAAUGGGGGCAACCCUGAUCCAGCCAUGCCGCGUGUGUGAAGAAGGCCUUUUGGUUGUAAAGCACUUUAAGCGAGGAGGAGGCUUACCUGGUUAAUACCUGGGAUAAGUGGACGUUACUCGCAGAAUAAGCACCGGCUAACUCUGUGCCAGCAGCCGCGGUAAUACAGAGGGUGCAAGCGUUAAUCGGAUUUACUGGGCGUAAAGCGCGCGUAGGUGGCUAAUUAAGUCAAAUGUGAAAUCCCCGAGCUUAACUUGGGAAUUGCAUUCGAUACUGGUUAGCUAGAGUAUGGGAGAGGAUGGUAGAAUUCCAGGUGUAGCGGUGAAAUGCGUAGAGAUCUGGAGGAAUACCGAUGGCGAAGGCAGCCAUCUGGCCUAAUACUGACACUGAGGUGCGAAAGCAUGGGGAGCAAACAGGAUUAGAUACCCUGGUAGUCCAUGCCGUAAACGAUGUCUACUAGCCGUUGGGGCCCUUGAGGCUUUA
This 848-nucleotide ribosomal RNA is filed under the name Escherichia coli. RNAcentral describes it as "bacterial SSU rRNA". It matches the Rfam family "Bacterial small subunit ribosomal RNA", at positions 1 to 842 of the family's 1533-position model. The record is from RNAcentral. Lineage: Bacteria; Pseudomonadati; Pseudomonadota; Gammaproteobacteria; Enterobacterales; Enterobacteriaceae.